UACGAAGGGGGGCUAGCGUUGUUCGGAUUUACUGGGCGUAAAGCGCACGUAGGCGGUUUGUUAAGUCAGGGGUGAAAUCCCGGAGCUCAACUCCGGAACUGCCUUUGAUACUGGCAAGCUAGAGUCCGGAAGAGGUAAGUGGAACUCCUAGUGUAGAGGUGGAAUUCGUAGAUAUUAGGAAGAACACCAGUGGCGAAGGCGGCUUACUGGUCCGGAACUGACGCUGAGGUGCGAAAGCGCGGGGAGCAAACAGG
This 254-nucleotide ribosomal RNA is filed under the name uncultured bacterium. RNAcentral's name for it is "partial 16S ribosomal RNA". It matches the Rfam family "Bacterial small subunit ribosomal RNA", at positions 524 to 776 of the family's 1533-position model. The record is from RNAcentral.